Long non-coding RNA from Salvia miltiorrhiza (redroot sage), 1359 nucleotides. RefSeq lists it as uncharacterized. Lineage: Eukaryota; Viridiplantae; Streptophyta; Magnoliopsida; Lamiales; Lamiaceae. The transcript is spliced from 5 exons. The record is from RefSeq and is a predicted model, not a curated record.
CUCCUGAUUCCUUUCGAGCAAUAAACUCCUUGUCUGAGUUGUGGGACACUCAUUUGAGCAGGAUGCUUUCCAAUGAAGAUACUCGUAAUACCAUAUCAUGUUUCUGAGAGGAACUCGGCCUAUUUAUACUUGUGCUCGGGGGUUUAUCGAGUAAAUAGUUGGCAGCUCAGUUACUCUUAUCUUAUUGUGAGAACUUUUAGCCUGUUAUUGUUUAACUGAGAGGAUAUUAAAAAGGUUGGAAAACUAUAUUUCAUUGUCUUUUGUUAUGUCUCUUUAGAGAUGCAGUACAGAGAAUAAUUGUACUUACAACAAGGUAUUUGUCAGUACAUCAAGUUAGUACCCUCCUUUUGCUACUAUAAAUACAUGGAUUUGUUGGACUAAUUAUGAAAUAGAUUCGAUCUUCUCCCUCUUGAAUUUGAGUUGUUAAGCCAUGGUUUUGGGGCCACUUAUACUUUUCGCAUGAGCUCUGAGCUUCGAGCAGCAGAGAGAAUUGAUUCAAUAAGGAACUCCAAUGGUGUUCAUGUAAGGCGGAUCCAUCAAGUUGAAAUUAGCCGUAUCCGGAUUGUAGUUACCCGUGCCAUACCCCACGACGUAGAAACUGUAGCCAUGAAGAUGAAUUGGAUGAUUCUCAGUCGAGACAGUGCCAGUAUCCUGCAAAAUGAGUUGAACCCUUGUCCCAUACUCAAGCACAAACAACCUCGUCCCAUUCAUCGCGUUGGUGUCAUUAGGAGCAUUGUUAGGCGCCCCGUUAACAAAAUCGUAAAAUUUUAAGGGUGCCCCGGGGAAAUCAUCAGUGAAGUAGCCAGCUUUAUCCCUGUAAUAAGCUUCUAAAAGUGAAACAUUAGGUCUAAUGAAACUUAUAUUGUUCAUGGAAGCAGCAAACACCCCACCAUUAGUGCCUUGGCAGUUUUUCUUGGGGUUUUUUCUAUUACACUUAUUCACAUUCACACCUAUGGUGACAAACAAGUUCUUGUCAAUUACUUUAGGAACAUCCGAGGUGUUGAGGCCCCGGAGCCCGUCCAUUACAGUUUUAACGGCAAGAUUGUCGUUGAAACUAGGUAGCAUGGCUGACAUGUAUGGCCCGACAGCCAUGGAGUAUCUACUUAUGGGCUGAUCUGCUGUGACGAGGACGUUGAGGGUCUGGCCCGGCGCGAGCAUCACCUUGUCGGUGUGGAGCGCCUUUGUGUACUCUGCAUCUGCUUCGACUAUGGUGAGCUUGUGAUUAGCAAUUGCAAAGAAGUUUUCUGUGUUCAAUCCCGCGUUGAUCAACCUCAGCAGGUAGGUCUUCCCGGGUACCACGUUCAUCCUGUACACAUCUAAGGAACGUUUCUGCUUAAUUUACCUUUUUCUUACAUCUCA